AAGGANGUCACACGAACCAGGUUUGAUUCCUUGAGUUUAAAAAAAUGAGCUCCAUCUCUGAUUUCUGAAAUUUUGGAGAGAAUUUGUUCUCUGAGGUAAUUAGCUUGAAUCAUUCAAGUCGACUCGUGUUGUUUAUUGCUUGAAUUAACUGAUUGCAACUGUUCAUUUGGAGCUCGAGUGCUUGACUCGAAGACUUAAAUUCAUUUUUCAUUCUUGUUGCUGUUGAAUUUUGAUCGAGAGUUUGUCGUCAAGUUUUCAGUUGAAUUGAAUUAGUUUUGGAGAGCCAAAGUUGAGUUGUAAUUCUGCAUUCAAGAACCACUGUUUGGGACAGCAUUUAGCAACAUCUUUCUGCAUUGUAUGCUCAGAUCACACCAGCUCUUUAGCUACUUCUUGUUGUCCAGAAAUUGCAGCAACAAACAAAUGGUUUAGGCUGCUGGAAAUCCAACACUUUUGAGCAGUAAAUCUGCCCUGUUUCAGCAGUGUUUGAUCAGACUUCUGCAUAUGUUUGACAGCCUAAUUGCAUCAAUUUGGAGGAGUGUUUGAGCAGCAAAAUCUGCACAGUUUGGACUGAGAGUUCAGCAUUGUUUCUACAUCUGUGAGCUUCUAAAAUCUGAAGCCUUGGACUAGCAUUAGAGCAAAGAAAAUCUGUAUUAUUCCUGCCACUGAUAUUUGCGCUGUUUCAGCAAUUUCUGCAGUUUUGUUGACUGUUUUCAGCUGAAUUUUUUUUGCACUUUGUGGUUAUUCUGCUUUGUGGAAACUGCAACUGAAAUUGAAAAGGUUUUAAGUUUGAGAUUCUUUGAGCUUGUGAACCUAAGUUUGAGCGGUGUUUAACAGCAUAAAUUGCACAAGUUGUUAACCUCGAAAUCAGCAUUGUUCCUGCUAUUUUGGGCAUCAGUUGCACAUCUACAGAUUAAUUUUUCCCAGUUGUUUUAGUUGUUUAACAGAAUUGUAGUUCACAGUGGUUUCAAGUUUAAUUCAGGUCCAGGGAAUGCUCAGGAAACUUCAGAAAACUAGGAGCUACAGUGGUCGCACAGUUUUACCGAGAAACUCUGAUUGUUAACUCUAAAUUAGUUUCAGUUUUCUGUCAACUUUUUAUUGUGCUCUAAACUAGUGUAAACUUGAUAUUAGUUCAUAUUAAGUUUAACAUAGUUCUUUGUGUGCUUAAUUUUGUUUCGUGCCAAUUGUUUCGUGCUUUUGUCUUUUAAUUUCGUUGCGAAUUGCUUGGUUCAAGUCCGUUUGCUUUUAAUUGUGCGUCCUUGUGAAUACACAACUUCCACUCCACCCCGAAGCGGUUGGUACUUGUUGUGAAACCUUGGAACUUAAGUUUGCUAGCAAUUUUGACAUUCACUACUUGAGCGGAAAAAGGCAAGAGUGAAUAGGACAUUGAGCACGCAAGAGCCAAUUGGUGCAAAGUGCGAUACACGAGGGUUGAGCGAUAUCAAGUGAGUUGGUGAGGACUUUUACUACUAACUUGUUUGCUCAUUUUGUAGGUAUCAUGGAGUACGGACAAACUUUUACUCCUAAUUGUGAUCCACGGAGUGAGACUCCGAUGCAUGAUGUUGUUUCUAUGCUUUAUGACAUAAGCGAGAAGGUUACCAACUUAAGUGAGAAGGUUACCAAUAUUAGCAUACGGCAACACCAAACGGAUGCAAGGUUGAAUUCCAUGAUAGAGGAAUCUCACUUGAGGCAACAAGGAAGGGAGCAUAGUAUGACGCUUACUAAUUCCUCUACUACACCCUCUCCUUCACAAGUGCGAGAAAUGCUUCAAAGGGAAAAAUUGCAACUCCACCAACCCAACCAAAUACCACAAAACUUACCAAGGCAACCACAAUCACCAAAGGGACCUUAUUUUCCUCCACCAAACUACCGACCACCUAUCCCCUACCAACCUCCAACCACACAUCCUCGACCACAAGUACCUCAACUUCAACCUUAUCACACUCCACCACAAGUUUACUCUUCACCACCACAACCCCACCAAGAUUACUUUCCACCACCCCAAGUGUCCUACCCACAAGUACACCAACCACCAUUUACACCUCAAGCACACAUACCCAUAAUACCACCACCCAAAUGACCCAACCUCGACCACCAAUGAAUUUAGCUCCCCAACGUAUGCCUCAAGCACCACCAAGGAGGGACAAUCUCCCUCCUCCACCACCCAUACCACCUCAAGAGCCUCAAAUGAUUAACAACCCACUUUUUCAAUAUGAUCAUGAGACCACCUUGAAUGAGUUGACAACAUCCAACAAGUUUUCCAUGAUAAAUAUAGGGGGGAUAAAGUGAACCAAAGGGGAAGAGGCCAAAUGAGUUUGAGAACGUCCUUGAAAAAUGCAAAAGAGAAAAAGUAAGGAUGAGAGACAAAAGAUAGAGAGUAGUGAGAGAGAGAAAAGUGACAACUCUAGAGUGGAUAAAGGAGGGAAAGUAUGGAGUGAAGUGAGUGAGUUGUCACAAGAAAUGAGUGAAGAGCUUAAAAAGAAAAUGAGAGACAAGAAAGAAGGAAAACAAAAAGAGAGUGAAAUUUUUCCUUAUUCUAAUGCUAACAACCUUUCUUCUUUCUCUAGUUGUUUUGUAUCUUGUGAAGGAACUUUUGGAGGUGAGCCAUUAAUUGAAGUUCAAUCUACUUUGACGAACUUGGAAGAAGAUCAAGCUACCUUUUCGAGAGAACUUUUGAAAUUUAAUGAGCAAGUUCAAGGUAAAGAGAAUUUCACUUUAGAAGAGCUUCAAGGUAACAUAGCUCAUCCUUCUACUCGUGAUACUUUAGUUGAUUGUGGUGACACUUUGAGUUUGAAAUAUAGCUAUGAUAUUGAUACUUUUUUAUCUUGCAAUGAGAAAAACAGUUUUGGGUUGCAACUAGCUAGGAGUGCUUGCGCAUUAUUGGACGAUUCUAGUUCUUUGUUUAAUGAAUCCCUAGCUAGUGAUUUGUGUGAUGUUGAAUCUUAUGAUACCCCACCUUUAUGGGAUGAUGCAUGUGAUGAUUCUUUUGACUCUACUUUAACUUUGUUAGAAGAAAGUUUUGACCUUUAUGGAGAAAUGAGUCAAGAAGAAUGUGUUGAUGAUUCUUUUGAUUCUAUUUUCAUUCUUUUGGCAAAAAGAUUCAAUUUUUAUGGUGAAAUGAGCAAAUGUGAGUUUGGAGAUACCUUGUUCGAGAGUGACAAGUUACUUCUAAUGACAUAAAUAUAAAAGAAAAACUUCCAUUUGUAUUCCAAUGAGUUAACUUCUCUUGUAUUUGAUCUUGAUGACUAUUAUGCAUAUUUAUGUGAUGAUUUUGUUGAGUGUGAAAAGGAAUGUAAAUUUUUUGAUGCUAGCACUAGUAUUUAUUGCUUUACUUAUUUUAUUCCUACUUUUGAAAGAACAUUCUCGUUGGAUUUUGCCAAUGCUUCGAUGAGAAAAGGUAAGAAUGUUUCUUUUGGUAUUUUGAGUGACCAUUUUGAGCAAAAAGAACCUAACUUUAUUGAUUUUUUUGUGAAGGUUCAACAUGAGAAAGUUGUUAAGGUUAAGAAAGGCCUUGAACUAACACUUUGGCAUACUUUUUAUCAAGAGCUUUUUGUUUUUCCCAAAAGCAAGAACGGUAUGUACGUUUGGCUUAUGCUUAUUUUGUGUUUAUCUAAGGGCAUUGAGGUAAAGAGUUUUAACUUUGAGUAUUAUGAUAUUCUUUAUAUGAUGAUUCAUGAUGAGCAUGGCAUAUCUCUUAAGUUGUCAUGUGAAGUUGUUGGAAGGUGUGUAGAUAUUUGGAGAUUAAAAUUUGUGUUUGACCACGGAGUUGCUUCUUAUCAUGGUGAAGUGUCUUUCUUUGAGUUGGAGAGUAUGAUUUUUAUUCCUUCUUAUGACACUUGAUUAUACCAUAAAAGUGUGCACUUUGUUGAGGAUUUGACAAUAUUGUGGUUUUGUUGGAAGCAUGAAACUUUACACUCUCUUAAUUCUUCUCAUGAUUUAUUAUUUUUCUUAUAGUCAAGUUUGUGUCAUUAGUAAUGGAGAUGUGUUCUUUAUAGAUUGCGACACUUGGCUAUAUCAUAAGAGUGUCACUUUUGAGUACAAGAUUGUGAUCUCUGAUCUUUUAGCUUGGACAUACAAUACUUUGAUUGUGAUUGGCUUGAUACUUAUCUUUGCCUCUUUCUUGGUUUUGCAAGGCCCACUCUAGUAUAAAUAGCCCUUAAGGCUUUUAUUUUAGGUAGACUUGAUGAAUGAUAAAUCUUGAAGACAUGCAAGCCUCACACUCUUUCCUUAUCUUUUAAUUAAUGCAUUUAUGUUUAUACCUUUAAUUCCUCUAUUGCUUUGUUUAUGCUUUCAUUAGUGCUAAAUUAAUCUUAGUUGGUGAACAAUUAGUAGUGAAUUAAUUGCUUAAUUACUUUAUCCGGGUUUUCAAGAGUUGUCUAUCUCUUGAGGGUUUUCAUAGAUUGUGUUCGUAGAGGUAAUUAGGCUUCAUAGCCUAAUUGGUUCUUGUUCUUCCAAUCAAUUGUAGGUCUAGCUCUUAUUGUUGAUUCCGCGUAUUUUGUCAUAUCCGUGUUUUGGUUCAUAGUUCGUAUCAAUAAUGCAAUUUUAAUCAGUUAGACGGAAGCGAGACUGAGAUGGUUUGGGCAUAUGAAGAAGAGUAGCAUAGAUGUCCUUGUGAGGAGGUGCGAGAGGUUGGCGGCGGUAAUAGUUCUAAGGAGAGGUAGAUGUAGACUGAAGAAGAAUCGGGGAGAGGUGAUUAUACAUGGCGCGACACAUCUUCAGCUCAACGAGGACAUGACCCAAAUAGGGGAGCAUGGAGGUCAAGGAUUAGGGUAGAAGGUUAGUGGAUAAUCGAGCGAUUUCUCUCUUCUCGGUUGGAGAGCGUGGUUGUAGUUUGGAGCACCUUAUAUGCUCCCUAUGCUCCUUAUCAGUGUUAUUAGUGUUAUUGGAUUGCUAA
Long non-coding RNA from Nicotiana attenuata, 4891 nucleotides. RefSeq lists it as uncharacterized. The transcript has 2 exons. NCBI's taxonomy places the organism in Eukaryota, Viridiplantae, Streptophyta, Magnoliopsida, Solanales, Solanaceae. The record is from RefSeq and is a predicted model, not a curated record.